Molecule: long non-coding RNA, 577 nt
Organism: Zingiber officinale
Lineage: Eukaryota; Viridiplantae; Streptophyta; Magnoliopsida; Zingiberales; Zingiberaceae
Exons: 3
Source: RefSeq, a predicted model, not a curated record
ACGUCUUCCCCGAUUCCUUUCGUCCCGAGACUCACCAGCGAUCGGUGAUCUCCCUCUUCCCCUCUCGGCGUCGCCGGCGCGAGCAACCACCGGGGCUUUGAGGGGGAAGCAACUGGCCGAUCUUUCUUCCCCUCUCAUUUUCCCCUCUUCUGCUUCCUCUCAUGUGCACGGACGACCCGACGCCGACGGCUUCCCCGACGAUCUCAUCCUCGCCGCGUCAUUGGAGGAACGCCGCUGGAUCUUGGAGAUAAGGAGGUUAUUCGGAUCAUAUCUGGUGGAGCGCUCGUCUUCUCUGCUGGCCCUUGCGCGUGGUCGACAGCGAUCGGAGGGAUCCGAUCUAGGGCACAACAAGAUUUGGGAUCGCAACGCCCUCCUAGCCGAUUGACCACCUUCAAUCCUCCUCCUGGAUCCGAUCACUGGGGAAGCAUUGGAUCAAUAUGUGGUGGACCUUCCUUGUUGCCGACCAUUGCCAGUUCUACUUCUUCAAGCUGUGCAGGCCUCGGGUGAAGAGGACUUGGAUUCGAGGCGAGCAUCUCGUCGUGGAUUGGUUUAUCUGAUACGAUUGACAGAUUUAAGG